This 414-nucleotide ribosomal RNA is filed under the name uncultured bacterium. RNAcentral's name for it is "bacterial SSU rRNA". It matches the Rfam family "Bacterial small subunit ribosomal RNA", at positions 104 to 518 of the family's 1533-position model. The record is from RNAcentral.
GGGUGAGUAACGCGUAAGCAAUCUGCCCCCACAAUCGGGAACAACCGUGCCAACGCGCGGCUAAUGCCGGAUAUUGUAGUCUACUGCAUAGUAGGCCAACGAAAGAUUUAUUGUUGUGGGAUGAGCUUGCGUCCGAUUAGCUAGUUGGCGGGGUAAUAGCCCACCAAGGCGACGAUCGGUAGCCGGCCUGAGAGGGUGAUCGGCCACAUUGGGACUGAGAUACGGCCCAGACUCCUACGGGAGGCAGCAGUAGGGAAUAUUGCGCAAUGGGGGGAACCCUGACGCAAGCAACGCCACGUGUGGGAAGAAGCAUUUCGGUGUGUAAACCACUGUCGGAAAGGAAUAACGGAAGACUUCGGUCUUUAUGAAUGUACUUUUAGAGGAAGCACCGGCAAACUUCGUGCCAGCCGCCGC